This 5580-nucleotide long non-coding RNA is filed under the name Sus scrofa (pig). RNAcentral's name for it is "lncRNA (ENSSSCG00065007447.1)". The record is from RNAcentral. Lineage: Eukaryota; Metazoa; Chordata; Mammalia; Artiodactyla; Suidae.
CCAUUGUGGCUCAGUGGUUAUGAACCUGACUAGUAUCCAUGAGGAUGCGGGUUUGAUCCCUGGCCUCGCUCAGUGGCUUAAGGAUCUGGCGUUGCCAUGAGCUGUGUGUAGGCUGGGGAUGCGGCUGGGAUCCCAUGUUUGCUGUGGCUAUGGCUGGCAGCUGAUUUGAUCCCAAGCCUGGGAAUUUCCAUAUGCUGCAGGUGCGACUCCCCCUCCCCCCCAAAAAAAAGACAAAACAGGCUCAUCUAGCUGAUCGGUUAAACUGCAGAGAGGCCAGGAGAGCAUUGAGUGAGGGGCAUUUGACUCUGCAUCACCUCCCUGGAUGCUUUGGCCCAGCCGAUUUGUCCAUCGAACCCUCCUCCCUGGGAACGAGAACAAAGGGCCCAGCCGUGAAAGAGGCCCUGGUCCCUCCCCGAGCUGGGGAAAGCCGAGGGCGAGCUCGGCAGCCCGUGCCAGGGGCUCGAGGGGGCAGGCUCUUUCCUUUUCCCUGUGCUUUCUCUGGGGCCAGGGCCCUCUGGUUAGAGGGUCGAGGUGACCAGAACAAAACAGGAAGAUAAACAGACUGAAACCCCCGGCUGCCUCUGAAGCACACCCAUCCUCCCCUCCACACCCAGGGCCGGGCGGAAUCUCCUUGGGCACAGCGAAGUUGUAAGACUGCGCUCGUUUCCCGGUUGUCAGGCAAAGGGCUUGGUGAGGUCCCAGGACGCCACCCGGCCUGGGUCGUCCCGCCACUCUGGGCGAUGGGCGUGGACCUGGUUUGCCCUCACUGGGGGUCCUGAGUGAGUCCCUCAGUGUCUGAGUAUCCGGCCUCAGGCCUUACCGCACAAGGGACGCACAGCCACUCGCCAGGGAGGUGGGCACUGAGGGGCACCUGCAGGGCUGGGCCGGUCACAGAGCAGCCCCAACCAGGGUGCCCUGCCCCUCCCUCUCCUCCCCCUGCCAAAGCCUGCCGUGUGGAGGCGGGAGGAUUUGAAUGCUGUCCCCUCAGAAAUGCCACUGGUCCCCAGGCUCAGGUGUGGGAGGACCAGCGUGGAGGGCCUCAGUUUCCCGGCCUCCCCCUCUUCUGCCCCUCUUCUAAUCUGAGGGCUCCCGGGGGCCUGGGUCCCGGUCCUCAAGACCACGAGAUGCACAUUUGAGGUCACUUGGUGGCUCUCCGGAGUGCAAAGUGACAGGAGAGGGCCUUUCGGGGCUGGCAGGCUGGGAGGGUGGAGUGGUGUGUAUGGGGGUGGGGAGGUGGCCCCCACGGUUCCUCCAUCCCCCCUCUGCUCUCACCUGUGAAAUAAACUACAGUGGCUCUUUCCCUCCCCCCCCCCACAGUCUCAGGCGACGGGUCUGUGCCCAGCUCGGGAGGGUUGGCUUCAAACCCCGGCUUUUCACCUCCUGGGCUUACGGGAUGGAGCCUCCGGCACAAGGCAGAGCAGGAACCAAGUGGGAAAACGGAGCUGGUGCUGUGUGUGCUGCAUCUUCCUUGCAUGCUAGGGUCUUCUCACUUGGCACCUGUGCCUGAAGCAUGCUCUCAGGGGGCACCUGCUGGGUGCCAGGUGCAGUGCCGCGGGUUGGGAACACGGCGAGCUGGAGGAGACAGAGCUGGAGACAGUCGGUUCUAAGGCCCCAAGUGAUGGGGCCCCGGAGAAGAAGGCUGCUGCUCAGAGAAGGGGUGGCUGAUGAGAGUGCAGGGAACAGCACGCGAGGCUCAGAGAGGUGCUGCAGAACCGGAAGACGCCGCAGGGCCAGCACAGCCUGGAGAGGGAGACGCUUCUUGUGCCAGGAGUGCGUUGAGUGGGAUGGGCCCGGAUGAGCUGUCCUGCGUGCUGGGCUCAGGCCUUUGGACUUGAACAUGGAAGCCCAGUACCUGGAAUGGCCCUGAACGUCUUGUUCCUUCCAGCUCGGCCUUGAAGGGACCUUGUUCUUUGCCCUGACGUGGACAUCCUUAGGCCCGAGAACCUGGGAAGGGCCAUGCUGUGACGAGGGUGGGGCCCAGUUCAUUGCCAACGAGGAAAUGGCCUCUCUCCCCCAACCUUUGGUGUCAGUGGACUCAAAGAGGGCCAGCCCUUGAGGUUCGUCUGGGCCAGAAGCAUCUAGACUCAAAAUAAUGGAGAGAACUGUCUGGUCUUUGAAAGGCUGGCCUCGGUCUUCUGCAGCAAAAGGAACCCCUGGGCUACUGAUCAGAGCAGCACAUUGGGAGUUCCAACCUGGGUUCUGCCACUUGCCAGCUCUGUGACCUUGGGCAAGUGGCUUAACGUCUCUGAGCUUUUCUUUCUUUGUCAUUGGCACAGUGGGGUGAAUAGUGGUACCAGUCCUCUGGGCUUCGGAGAGGAUUUGGUGAGAACAGUACAGGUCCAGUGUUUGUGCCAUGCCUGACAGGGACGGUGCCUGAGAAAAAGAGAGCCCGAUCUUGCUGGUACUGUGAUGACAUCUGCUGUUCCCAUGGCUACAGAGGAGGGGGCCUGACGCCUGAGCCCGGGAGGGGCAGGGCCGGAGACGGCCUCCCAGGAGCUUUGGAGCCAGCUCUGCUGGUCAGGCUCUGGCUGCGUGGGACGCUGGGCCGGUUACUGAGAUAAAAUUGAGCGUGUUAUUUACCUUCUAACCCCCUUCGUCGUCUCAUCUGGAAAAUGGGAUGUUGGCGCUCUCCUCCCAGGCUGCUGUGGGCGUGUAAGAGCCGCCAGGUGGAGGAGGUUCCAGGCUGAAUCAAGUUUCCUGAAAGUCUUGGGGGGGUGGGGGUGAGGAGGGCUUUCUUUGGCCCCUUCUGCCUCGUGGAGCAGCCGACACUGGGGGGCAGGGAACCGGAGGAACUUGCACCUUGACCCCUCCAGUGGCUCCAGCCCCAUGGGGGGGGGCCCUGGCUCGCCUGACGUUUCACCCAGAGCUGUGUGUUAUCUUUUGCAGAAGUCAUGAUCGGAGGAAGGACAAACCACUUCCUCUACAGCCUUCAGAUUUAUCAGGCACGACUUUUGACAGUUUCAGUUUGAAGAGAAUUAAACAAAAACAGCAACAAAGAUGUUGAGACGCUUCGAUGAAUAAAGCGGCCUCCAGCUUCUGCUCCCUGCUCUCCACGGUUGGACAAGGCCCCGUCAGGGCCCCUGGGAUGCCACACGGUGAAGGGCAGGUUCGGGUUCGAGAGGCAGCCUGAGUUUGGAGCUUUCUUUGCACAUGCAGGCUGCUGGCCGAGGGGCCAGGUUUCUAGCCCUCUGCCUGGUGUUUCUGUCCUCUGCGCUAUGGCAUCUGCACAGGUCGCAGAGAUGGCAUUUCAGAAGUUUCACCUCACAGCAGCUUGCUUUCCCCCUUGCUGUGUCUGGAGAAAGUGCUUAAGCUAAGCCAGGCCGGAUCGGCAGUGACGGGUGGCCCCCCGGGACCCCGGUCCAGGUUCCUCCCCUCGGGCCCUGCCUGCCUGUGAGACACCACCCAAAGGUGGUUCUUGGGUUAGACUUGGGGGAACCAUUUGGGGGAACUGCAAGUCUGUGAGUCGAAAAUGACUAAAUAUCAGUUUCACAAAGUUGAAACUACUAGUUUGUGAAUAAACCCGACUCCUAACUUGCUGGUGGUGUUUCUUGUCUGUGGCCCUGAGACUCGUAAGAUCAGUACAAAGCUAGCCCAUCUUGAGGAGGCGAGGGGAACGCACACACACAUACACACACACACACAGGCAUAUACAGGCACAGAUGCACAGAAGACACACCUGCGGCGGUGCACACAGAUGCACGCAUGCAGACACGCACACACACACACAGUGCCAUGAACACACACACACACACACACACGCACACACAUCUUCAGAGGCUCUCUGGCGUUUUGCUCCUUGUGUUCAAAUGUCCAGGGUGUGUGUGUGUUGGCGUGAGUUGUGUAACCUCUGCAGUGUCCUCACCUCCCAGAUGAGAGAGUAGUGAUGUGCUGACCUGGGACGAUGGUCAGGAUGCAGUGAAGGAGCCUAAGUGGGCCCAGGACAGGGCCUGGGACCCAGCGGGCUCUGUUCAGACGAGCUGUCCUGUGUUGGGGCCGACACUCGCCUUGCCUCCGGUGGAGGGUUUGGCCCAUCCGGCCUGUGGUUCUCCUAGUGACGCGUCGGUAGUGACUCUGCCGCCCAUUCAGUGCUGCUGGCUGGCAGCUCUGUGCCACGCACUGUUCUAGGCCAUUCCGACACGGCCUCUGCUCUCAGUAAGCUUAGAGUUCAUGGGGGCCGGGGGCCGGGGGCCGACAGCCUACAGUCAGCACUUGCCAAGGUCCCCACGGAGGUGGCAAGUGCAAGGACAGACAUGGGACGGGGGAGAGAGAGGCAGGGUUGGGUGCAGCCAGUGCAAAGGCCCUGAGGUGGAACACUGCGGGGCAGGCGGGGGCCGUCCCAGCUGCCAUGGCCUCCACAGGGAGCUUGGAUUUUAUGCCCAGGGCCUGGGGGAGCAGGGAUGUGACGCGGUCUCAUGUCCUCUUCCUGGAGUUGGCAAGAGAAGGGUCAGGGCAGACCACAUGUCCUGUUCUGCCCUUGUCCCUUUAGGCCUGCCUCAGGCUUGGCCGCACAGCGGCUGCCCACUGGCUGCCCAGGGCCUGCCAAAUCGCUGGUCCUGAGGGCGUGAGGACAGCCAUUACCCCCGAGUCCGAUGGACCAGGCUUGUACCUCAUCUCCGCCGCCUGCCUCAGUGUCCUGAUCUGUGCAGUGGGCACAAGUGUGGGAGCCCUAGCCCCCCGCCGCUCAGCCUCGGGCCCUGUGCCCACACCCCUCUCUGAGGUCAGCCCUGCUCCUGGUCCCGGGGGAGGUUGUCGCGUCGCAUUCCUCCUGCGUGAGUGACACAGAGGGCAGGGGUAUGUCUGCGACGCUGCUCUGUAAUUUUCAUGUCUGGGACGGGCCCAGGGCUGAGCUGCUCCCCUCUGACGGCAAGUCAGCAGCAGUGCGUUUCCCAGUUUGCCUUUGUUGGUUUUCUUUUUUCUUUCUUCUUCCUCUUCUUUUUUUAAUAGAUCCUUUUUAUUUUUUUCCCCUUCCUGUGAAGUAAAACUGGCGACUUGGAUGUGGUGGGUAGGAAUUAGUAGUUUCUGUCCUUUUGGUGUGGGUGUCGGUUGGGAGUUGAUUUAAACAUUUAUUUCCCAUUAAGAGGUUCAUGGGCUGGAAGCUGGCACUCGAAGUGGGGUGAUCUCCAGUCCCGGCUGGUGGUUUGUGUUGCCUGCAGGACCCGCCUGACUCGAAGGCAAGCAGGGAGCCCGCUGAGCGGAGGUUACCAUUGCAGACCCGUGGGCCAAGUCCAGUCUGUCGAUCUGUUUUGUUUGGCCCACGCAGUGUUUUUUGGGGAAACAACAACAACAACAACAAAAAACAAAAAGGAACACUUCAGUAAGUUGUCUACAUUUAAAAAUUGGGCGAGGAAUUCCUGUUGUGGCACAGCGGAAACGAAUCCGACUAGGAACCUUGAGGUUCCGGGUUCGAUCCUUGGCCUUGCUCAGUGGGUUAAGGAUCGGAUCUGGCGUUGCCGUGAGCUGUGGUGUAGAUCGCAGACAUGGCUUGGAUCUGGCGUUGCUGUGGCUGUGACAUUGGCCGGUAGCUACAGCUCCUAUUAGACCCUUAGCCUGGGAACCUCCAUAUGCCGUGGAUGCGGCCCU